RNAcentral lists this ribosomal RNA (384 nucleotides) under uncultured bacterium. Its description in RNAcentral is "bacterial SSU rRNA". It matches the Rfam family "Bacterial small subunit ribosomal RNA", at positions 30 to 416 of the family's 1533-position model. The record is from RNAcentral.
AUUGAACGCUGGCGGCAUGCUUUACACAUGCAAGUUGAACGGCAGCGCGGGCUUCGGCCUGGCGGCGAGUGGCGAACGGGUGAGUAAUAUAUCGGAACGUACCCAAGAGUGGGGAUAACGUAGCGAAGUUACGCUAAUACCGCAUACGAUCUAAGGAUGAAAGCAGGGGAUCGCAAGACCUUGUGCUCCUGGAGCGGCCGAUAUCUGAUUAGCUAGUUGGUGGGGUAAAGGCCCACCAAGGCAACGAUCAGUAGCUGGUCUGAGAGGACGACCAGCCACACUGGAACUGAGACACGGUCCAGACUCCUACGGAGGCAGCAGUGGGGAAUUUUGGACAAUGGGGGGCAACCCUGAUCCAGCAAUGCCGCGUGAGUGAAGAAGGCC